This 618-nucleotide unclassified non-coding RNA is filed under the name Hevea brasiliensis (rubber tree). The record is from RNAcentral. Lineage: Eukaryota; Viridiplantae; Streptophyta; Magnoliopsida; Malpighiales; Euphorbiaceae.
CUUCACUCCACAGCCCGAUCAAAUUUUUUCAGUUCAUCAAUCAAAUUAAAGAUCAUCUCCAAUCACGAUGACCACCACCAUCCACAUCUCCGCCCUCGACGGUAUCAUCAAUGUGAACUCCCUCUUCACUUUCGCCGUCUUCGUCGGUCUAGCCUGGAACCCAACGGAUCCUAACAGCUCCCUUGUCAACGAUCCCACCUCCCCUUGCGCCGCCGGCCCUUCCAUUGUUGAGAACAUUGUCUCCUUUCAUGUUUUCUCCUUCAGCUCCUUCCUCUUCUCCAGCUUGAUCGCUCUUGCGCUGAAGCAAGCUCUUCGGAUUUCCAAAACCUCCGGUUCUCGCGCUCAUUCCAAUCACUUAGCCGAGUUCUUCGUGCUCGUGAACAAGAAUUCGUUUCGGGCCGGGAUGCUAGCUUCGGGUGUUGGGUCGGUUGUUGGGAGCGUGUUCUUGAUGCUGGCGUUGAUUAAUGUGGUUCAGUUCAAGCUCGGAACUUUGGCUUGUGGAAGUGGGGAUAGUUUCGCUGCUGUUGUGCCUCUUGUGAUUUUUGUCUCUAGUGCUCUCUUGAUUUAUUCGUGUAUCGUUUUGUAUGCUUUUUUUGGUUGCUAAUCUUUAUUUUUUAG